This 475-nucleotide ribosomal RNA is filed under the name Bacillus sp. LV3. RNAcentral's name for it is "partial 16S ribosomal RNA". It matches the Rfam family "Bacterial small subunit ribosomal RNA", at positions 65 to 518 of the family's 1533-position model. Lineage: Bacteria; Bacillati; Bacillota; Bacilli; Caryophanales; Bacillaceae. The record is from RNAcentral.
AGCGAAUGGAUUANGAGCUNGCUCUUAUGAAGUUAGCGGCGGCCGGGAUGAUNUAACACGUGGGUAACCUGCCCAUAAGACUGGGAUAACUCCGGGAAACCGGGGCUAAUACCGGAUAACAUUUUGAACCGCAUGGUUCGAAAUUGAAAGGCGGCUUCGGCUGUCACUUAUGGAUGGACCCGCGUCGCAUUAGCUAGUUAGUGAGGUAACGGCUCACCAAGGCAACGAUGCGUAGCCGACCUGAGAGGGUGAUCGGCCACACUGGGACUGAGACACGGNCCAGACUCCUACGGGAGGCAGCAGUAGGGAAUCCUCCGCAAUGGACGAAAGUCUGACGGANCAACGCCGCGUGAGUGAUGAAGGCUUUCGGGUCGUAAAACUCUGUNGUUAGGGAANAACACGUGCUANUNGAAUAANNUGGCNCCUUNACGGUACCUACCCACAAANCCCGGNCUACCUANCUUCCANCANCCNC